UCUUCACCAGACUGCACGAGGCCACGAGGCCUUCCCUCUUUGCCGCUGCCGCCGCCUCCUCCUCCUCUUUUCCCUCGUUCUCCAGCCGCCGCCGCCGCCCCUGAUCCUUCCUCCUCGGCUCUACCAACCCAAUCCUCUGUCCUCUCUCCACUCCUCCUCCUCUCAUAGGCCCUGCCGCCGCACACCGCUGCUCCCCCGUUGGCGGUGAAGGCCCUGCAGAUCCAGCCGGGUUGGUCGCCGCCGUGCGCCCGCUCCGUCGUCAUGGGUUGUCCCGUGCUCCCCUCCUCUACACGUCAUCGCCUGAAGGUCACCGUUGCCGCCGCUGAUUUACUCCCCCAUUCUCCUCCACCAUCGCUGUCCAUGUGUGUCCGUCUCCAGGGAUCCAACUAUGGCCGCCUCUUUGUUUGCUUCCUUUUCUGAUCAUCUCGUCCACAACGCAGCGGUGGCCGCGGUGCGGACAAUCGACGGAAAGUGGGUAGGAAAGGCCCGACAGUGGAGCCACGCGGAAUGAGGCAACAGCGGCACAGGAGCUUCCCGGCGCAGGUCAUCUUCCUCUCAUUUGUCCUCCCCCAUUCCCCUCCUAGAUACUCAUUGAUUAAGAGGUACAAGUGGGUGGCCAGCUGCAAUUUCUAGAUGGAAGACAUCUGGUUAAGAUUUACUUUGGGUUCUUGAUUCCAUUUUCUCAAUGGUUAUUACUUAUAUGUAAUUAGUACGUAAAAUAACAAUUUUUGUAUACCAUGUUUGUGGCUGAAUGCAUUGAGUUGCUGGAAUUGUUUUAUUAGAUCACAGGCAUUAUUCAGUGCACUCUUGAUUGUCUUACCAAUGGUCCAAAUAAAUGCACAACCGGUGAAAUUGACUGUGGUUUUGAUUUACUUUUCUUACAAUAGAGUAAAUUUCAUUAUUUUUCAGUUUGGACAUACUUCUAUCGGUUUGCUUCUAAUUGCAGCUUAAUCUGUAAUUUGUAGGCUUUGCACUACAGAGCAGUUGGUGGUAGGAAGGACAGAGGACGCGAAGAACUCAUGGUUAGGUGUACGGCGAGGGGAGGAGGAGGAAGCACUUCUCUGACAAGAUCCAUAGCCACCACUUCAUCAUCGGCGGCAACCCUCUGUAUUUCCAAUGUGUAGUAAUGUUAUUCCGGACGCAUGCGAUUUACAAAAUAAAAGGAGUAGCAAAUAUCAUAUACCUGGUUAAGGGACUGGCUGGUUUCUGAUCCACUGCAAAUUGAGCUUUCUUUUGUGAAGGAAUAUUACACUAAAAAAGUUGUCAUCAGUAUAUAUCUCAAGAUGAAUUGUGUCACGGGAGCCGAUACGGUGGCAGACACAAGCAGAGCAAAGCGAAGCCGGCGCGACGGCCGGGCCCUCCAAGCACACAACCACUGCCUCCUCGCCAAAAUACGCUAGCCUGCAUCUACAAGGAAAAAAAGGAACUUGCCCGUAUGGUGUUCACUAAAAAGAAGAAUCUGCUAAAAGGUUGGAUGUGGGCUGUACGUGGACAUGACCUUGUUCCUGGGAUUCAGAAAGGAGCACGUGCCAUGGAACUUCAAGAAGACGGAGAACCAUGUGUACCUCCAUGUCGUGCUUUGGCAGAAGCUGGAUGCCGACGAGUCAGAACCUGCUGAAGAAGCCACUCUGCUCACCAUUGGCGCUUUCCGUGGGAAGUGAUAGCAAUGGAAGCGGAGUUGUAGCUCUUCUGAAAAUUGCAAGGAUCUUUUCACACAUCUAUACAAGCCCUAAGACCAGAAGCAAGUUUAAUCUUCUCUUUGGAUUAACAUCUGGCGGACCCUACAAUUAAAAUGGAACUAGCAAGGUUAUCAAUUUUUGUUACAGUGGCUUGAAAUUUUGACCAACAUGUGUGUGAUAUUAUUGACUAUGCAAUUUACUUGAAUAUCAUUGGUUCCUGGAGCAAUGAUCUCUGGAUGCAUGUAUCAAAGCCUCCAGAGAAGCCUUACAUCAAGCAAAUCUUUGAGGUACAGUAGCCGUUUCAAUUUUUUGGUUCAUAACUUUGAUUACCUGCAAUUAUAAAGUCUUCUAUAACUUGAAGUGUGUUUCCUUCAGAAUUUUUCGCAUGUCUCCAAGGAAAUGGGCAUUUCAGUCGCACAGAACAUUAAUGUGUCAAAUUCUAGAGUGUGUUCUUGCCUUUUGAAGGAUUGUAUACCAUCAUUAGGUUUGAAUCCGAUUAGGAUUUCAGAUAAUCUGUCUUACAUGGACCUACUGUCAGUAGUAGCACAAUGGCAUUAUCAUAUCAUGUGCUGCCCAGCGUGACAAACUAGCGGAGCGGUUCCCAGCCGAGCACGAAAAAUAAUAAACUUACACCAAUCUUCGGUUUUCAUGCUACAGAAUUUGUGUGCUCAUAUAGUUGUAUCUAUGAAAUCGCAGACUACAUGCUGAACAAGUUUCAGAUUGAGGAGAGCCUGGUCCCAAGAUGUGCCUAAAUUUGUACAGGGAAUAAGGAACUACAAUGGCCGGUCUGAAGCUUAUGGGCUACGAUUUCGACUACGAGGAUUCCACGCCAGCGUGCACGGUAAAUUGCCAUAUGAGAAAUUGAAGCCGGACCCUGUCCUGAGGAACCUACUGCUUUCGAUGCCUCAAAAUCCCUCUGAUGUUUUUUGCUAAUCGCAUCAGCAAGGGGUCUGUGACAGUUAAAUGCUUCAGCAGUUACAGUUUGUUGUUGCACUGUAGAUAUUCACCAACUCUGACGAGGCUCACGCGGCCGCCCUCCUCUUGGUUAACUCUGACAUUCAUUGUGCCAUUUAUAUCAAAAUAUUGCAUGAGUUUUUGUUGGUUGUUCAGGACUAAGCUUAUCUUGGUUAAUGUCAAUUUUAAUUGUACUCUGGCUCAAGUGAUUUUUUGAUAUGGUAACUAAUUUCUGGUUCUUUUUGCUAAAUUCUAAUUUAAAAACAAAGCAGUAAGAAAUCAUGCAUGAUGUUUCAAGUAAAAAAAUAAAUAAAUGCAGCCUCGAGUGCUGAUCUAUGAAAUAGAUACCAUCAGGAAGGUCGUGCCUUCAAUUCAUCAUGUUCUUUGCAUGCCUAAUUUUCCUCUCAUCCUCUUUUGUUGUAUUCACAGUGUUUUUUUUCUGGACAAUGGUUCUGCAUCUUUGCAGGAGGAUUAUCAGGCCUGAGUGACAUUUGUGGGAAAAAAAUCGUUCAAAGCUAGGUGUUCAUUGCUGUUAUUGUUCCUAAUUUGAAGGGGACUGAGAUUUCUACCUAGGAAAUUCAAGUUGUGUUACCUUCAAAUGAUCGGACAUCUGAAAUAAAUUAUAUGUAGGCAAUACUGAUGAAGCCCAGUCGUAUGAGCUGAGGGCUCAGACCGUCUCGCCGCGUUGGAUCUGAUCUUAUAUGCAAAGCUAUUGAGCAGAUGCUGAUCAUUUAAUGUUGUGACAGUAAUAAGAGUUGUCCGUAUUUCUUCUUUCAUGUACUAUAAAUACAAGAGACAUAUGUGCUACACUACUUUUGGACAAACUGUAAUGGGUUGUCCUCGUUACA
Molecule: non-coding RNA, 3481 nt
Organism: Triticum urartu
Lineage: Eukaryota; Viridiplantae; Streptophyta; Magnoliopsida; Poales; Poaceae
Source: RefSeq, a predicted model, not a curated record